Molecule: ribosomal RNA, 497 nt
Filed under: uncultured bacterium
Lineage: Bacteria
Description: partial 16S ribosomal RNA
Rfam family: Bacterial small subunit ribosomal RNA
Source: RNAcentral
GAUGAACGCUGGCGGCGUGCCUAAUACAUGCAAGUCGAGCGAACGGACGGGAAGCUUGCUUCUCUGAUGUUAGCGGCGGACGGGUGAGUAACACGUAGAUAACCUACCUAUAAGACUGGGAUAACUUCGGGAAACCGGAGCUAAUACCGGAUAAUAUUUUGAACCGCAUGGUUCAAAAGUGAAAGACGGUCUUGCUGUCACUUAUAGAUGGAUCCGCGCUGCAUUAGCUAGUUGGUAAGGUAACGGCUUACCAAGGCAACGAUGCAUAGCCGACCUGAGAGGGUGAUCGGCAACACUGGAACUGAGACACGGUCCAGACUCCUACGGGAGGCAGCAGUAGGGAAUCUUCCGCAAUGGGCGAAAGCCUGACGGAGCAACGCCGCGUGAGUGAUGAAGGUCUUCGGAUCGUAAAACUCUGUUAUUAGGGAAGAACAUAUGUGUAAGUAACUGUGCACAUCUUGACGGUACCUAAUCAGAAAGCCACGGCUAACUACGUG